RNAcentral lists this transfer RNA (72 nucleotides) under Ornithorhynchus anatinus (platypus). Its description in RNAcentral is "tRNA-Gln (CTG) (tRNA-Gln-CTG-9-1, tRNA-Gln-CTG-9-2)". It matches the Rfam family "tRNA". From Rfam's summary of the family: Transfer RNA (tRNA) molecules are approximately 80 nucleotides in length. Their secondary structure includes four short double-helical elements and three loops (D, anti-codon, and T loops). Lineage: Eukaryota; Metazoa; Chordata; Mammalia; Monotremata; Ornithorhynchidae. The record is from Rfam by way of RNAcentral.
GGCCCCAUGGUGUAAUGGUUAGCACUCUGGACUCUGAAUCCACCGAUCCAAGUUCAAAUCUUGGUGGGACCU